Daucus carota subsp. sativus is the source of this 1888-nucleotide RNA transcript. It is a transcript of the gene named heterogeneous nuclear ribonucleoprotein 1, with no coding region annotated. The record is from RefSeq and is a predicted model, not a curated record. NCBI's taxonomy places the organism in Eukaryota, Viridiplantae, Streptophyta, Magnoliopsida, Apiales, Apiaceae. The transcript has 3 exons.
CAACGCCAAUACACAAAUUCCUGACUUGUCCCCAAACCCCAGUCGGCGACUCAGCUGAAACCCUGGUAUAAAUAAGUAUACACACAGCUAUAGAUACGAUAGGAUGGAUUCAGAUCAGGGGAAGCUGUUUAUUGGUGGGAUAUCAUGGGACACGACUGAGGAGAAGCUGAGUGAGUAUUUUGGGAAUUAUGGGGAGGUUUUGUUGACAUCUGUCAUGAAAGAUAAGCUUACGGGAAAGCCUAGAGGCUUUGGCUUUGUUGUCUUUGCAGAUCCUUCUGUUCUUGAUGCUGUUCUUCAGGAGAAACAUGUCAUUGAUGGCAGAUUGGUUGAGCCUAAGAGGGCCAUGUCUAGGGAAGAACAACAAGUGUCGAAGGCUGGGAACCCAAGUUCUGGCAGAAGCUAUGGGGGUGGUGAUGUUAGGACUAAGAAAAUUUUUGUUGGGGGUUUACCUCCAACAUUGAGUGAAGAAGAAUUUCGUCAGUAUUUUGAGGCUUAUGGGCAAGUUACUGAUGUGGUGGUUAUGUAUGACCAGCAGACUAAUCGUCCACGUGGGUUUGGUUUUAUAUCUUUUGAUACCGAGGAUGCAGUUGAUCGGGUUUUGCACAAAAACUUCCAUGAUUUGAACGGUAAGCAAGUGGAAGUUAAAAGGGCUCUUCCCAGAGAUUCCAAUGCUGGUGGGGGUGGUCGUACUAUGGGUGGCGGUGUAAGCCGUGGUGGUGGAGGUUAUCCGAGCUAUGGCGCAUCUGGUGGCAAUGUAAGUUCAUAUGAUGGUCGUGAUUCGAGCAGGUACAUGCAGUCUCAGAAUACUGGUGGUGGUUAUCCAUCAUAUGGAUCAUCUGGAUAUGGUGCAUCUAGUAAUUGGUACGGUCCUGGUGGUAAUGGCGCUGGUUCUGGUGGCUAUGGUAGUUAUGGUGGUGCCAAUCCUGGGUAUGGUGGUCCUGCUGGGGCCUCAUAUGGAAACCCUAAUGUCCCAAAUACUGGUUAUGGUUCUUAUGGUAGUGGUCCAGCAGGUGCUUCAAGGAAUGCAUAUGGUGCCCAUGCAUCUUCUGGAUAUGGUAAUACUCAGUGGGGUGCUUCGGGUGGCUCUAACGGUGGUCCUGGUGGUGCACCUGUUUCUGUGCCCACAGGUCAAUCUCCUAGUGGAGCUGCUGCCUAUGGGAACCAAGGUUAUGGCUAUGGUGGAUAUGGUGGACCGGAUGGGUCAUAUGGAAAUCCAGCUGCAUAUGGUGCUGUUGGGGGUCGGCCUGGUGGUGCCCCAAAUAGUUCAUCUGCUGGUGGUGAAGUACAAUCUGGCAGUGGAGGAUACAUGGGUGGUAAUUAUGGGGAUCCAACAGGGAAUUCAGGAUACGGAAACCAAGGAUGGAGAUCUGACCCCUCGCAAGGUUCUGGUAGUUAUGGGGCACCUAGUGGCGGACAAGUUGGAUAUGGCGGUGGUUAUGGCGCACCACAACAGUAAUUUUGAUAUCGUGAGUCUGGUUCUGAAAAAGCCACACAGUUGAUGUUCUAAAGGGCUGUUGCAGCAAACAAUUGAUGCAUCAUGCAUUUAACAAUUGAAAUGGAGGAGGUAUGCUUGAUAACCAAUUUGAUGUGUCAUGGCUAUAAAAAAGCUUCAUGCUAAGGAUUCUGAAGCAAGGCCGUGAAGAUCUGACAGUGCCACUGAGGUUGUGGGGUGAAAUUGAAGUGUUCAGAGGCUAAACUCGGGAGUUCAUGUGGGUAUCCUGCACACUUUAAAUAACAUUAGUUAAUUUGCCUAUUGUUUGGGCUUUGAUUAGACCAGGACAAAAGGAGUAAAAGUUGCUACCAAAAUUUUAUACUUUUAGAUUCUAGGUGAAUACAAGCCUUUCUUUCUUUUUUUGCUAAAUAGAAUACAAGCCUUUUUUUAAUGUUA